AUUCAUCAUUCCAAUUUGUCAAGUACCCAGAGUGCUGGACUAAUUAUGUGGCGGGAAACCAGAAAAAAAAAAAAUGGGGGAGGCCAGCCUCCUGUUUAGACUUUCCUAUCUCACCUUGGCUCCAAACGAGCAGCCGAACCUUCGCUGGGCUACAAGAGACGCACAGCACUGGCAUAUGGUGAUUUGGUUUCCUGGAUGAGCCGUAGUCUAAAAGCAGGAACGGAGCGCUGCCUCUUUGUGCUGUCAUCUCAGGACCAGCUAAUGGCCCGUGCUUACUCUGUACCUUGACUUUUCAACCCAAUGUGACAGUGAAUAAUAUGCUGCACAUAAGGCUGGAUUUACUGCAAUAUCUUCCCCAGUAGCAAAAGCUACAGGACCCGGCGUAUGGCUGCAGCAGCAUAAGAGACAGGCAGGGCCGUGAAGAGGUUAUCUCCGUGUUCAGGAGCGCAGACCUUCACUCUUCCAGGUCGUCUUAUUCCACCUGCUCUCCACUCCACUCUUGCUGAUGAGGUUCGUCUUUGGAAAAGUUUCCAUCGUUACCAGCACAGGCAGUAAUCUUUCAGUGUGAACCUUCCAAGUCUGCGCUUGCCUGGAUAUUCUGGAGAAAUCUAAGUGUACAUUUUCGUAUACAUAUGUGGAAUACAGUACUGCUAACAAUCCGAUGGGGGCGCUCUGCACUACAGUACACAGGACGUGUUUAACUGCAGACUCAGAAGUGCAUCCUGUCCAUCCAAUCUACAGUCGCUCGUCUUAAUAGAAAACAAAAACAGACAAACACGCUGAUUUCUAACGCACUGAUUCUUCAACCUUCCCGGAAAGAAAACGACUCCAUCGGAGUCCGCUAGAAGACAAGUCUGGGAUGGGAACACAUCACUGCAACAUACCUGCGUGUUUUUUUUUUUUUUUUUGGUGGAGUUAAAGUGACUUUUUAUCUUCUCUUCCGGCAGAGAGAAAAAAAAAAUCCAAAUAUAAGUUGUUGUUUUUAAAGACAAAUGGUCUUGAUAAUUUAUAUUAAAGUUAAAAAAAUAUAAUAAAUAAAAUUGUGUAACUGAGUGUAAUGUAGAUAUCAAAAGAAAAAUAUCGUGUGAGUUGUUUCAAGUGAGAAGAUGGUAAAACUCUAACGGAGGACAUUCUUCCAAACCGGAUCAAACCAGAUCGGUUGUCAUGACUACAACACCGACUCCAUGUUGUUGGACAUCUCUGGGUCCUCCAGGUUAAAAAUGAACUUUGUCCUGUUGGCCGGAUUAUGCGUGAUCUCUUUGCCUAAAUUGUCCAAAGUCACGUUGGAGGAAAAGAGUUCGGUGGGCGUGAGGUAACCCUCGUUGUUCUUGAUGUACUUCCUGUAGUUCUUCCUCAGACAGUGCCAUGUGGUGGUGUACAGCAGGAAGGCCGAGGACUUGAGGACGAUGGCGAUGCUAACGUACAGGUGCCUGUAGGCCACGUUGUCAUACAGCAUGCACGCUCCUUUCUCACCACACACAGAGCUCCAGAAGAGGCAGGUGGAAUCGAUGCCCAUGCCGAAGAUAAGAGGAGGAGGGAUGAAGCCUGCAGGGCAGAUGUUGGACAGAGAUCUAAAGCGUUUGUCACCUUGGAUAUCUAUGAACAAAAAAAUAAAAUGUGACCUUUUGUGCAAAUGUUUCAACAGAAUCCUUUCUUCUUGAGGGACUGCAUGUUGAGAAAUAAGGUAUUUACCUGAGUGAUGUUUCCUCCUCUGUAGUUUGGGAUAAAAAUAAAAAUCCCUCUUUAGGUUUUACUUGUAUUCAUUGUUCUUCUCUUGACUUUGAUCCUCUUGUCUUUGUUUUUUUUCCCCACUCUUUUCUUUCCCGGUUUUAAAUAUUUUCGGCACUGGGUCGAACAACUUUUAAUUUCUUAAAAAACUGCACUGAUUUUAUAUAUCGUGUAUAUUGUAUUUUAGUGUAUUUUACUUUAUUAUUUUGCUAUUUUUAUUAAGUAACUUUGUUUUAUUUAUAUUUGUUAAUGUACACACACCUCACCGAGCCCACCAUGUAACUAAUUAACAUUUCAAGUGUAGUAUUUUUUUUAAAAAUAGAGGUGU
Cynoglossus semilaevis (tongue sole) is the source of this 2056-nucleotide long non-coding RNA. RefSeq lists it as uncharacterized. The record is from RefSeq and is a predicted model, not a curated record. Lineage: Eukaryota; Metazoa; Chordata; Actinopteri; Pleuronectiformes; Cynoglossidae. The transcript has 7 exons.